AGGAAUAUUGGUCAAUGGGCGAGAGCCUGAACCAGCCAAGUAGCGUGAAGGAUGACUGCCCUAUGGGUUGUAAACUUCUUUUAUAAAGGAAUAAAGUCGGGUAUGGAUACCCGUUUGCAUGUACUUUAUGAAUAAGGAUCGGCUAACUCCGUGCCAGCAGCCGCGGUAAUACGGAGGAUCCGAGCGUUAUCCGGAUUUAUUGGGUUUAAAGGGAGCGUAGAUGGAUGUUUAAGUCAGUUGUGAAAGUUUGCGGCUCAACCGUAAAAUUGCAGUUGAUACUGGAUAUCUUGAGUGCAGUUGAGGCAGGCGGAAUUCGUGGUGUAGCGGUGAAAUGCUUAGAUAUCACGAAGAACUCCGAUUGCGAAGGCAGCCUGCUAAGCUGCAACUGACAUUGAGGCUCGAAAGUGUGGGUAUCAAACAGGAUUAGAUACCCUGGUAGUCCACACGGUAAACGAUGAAUACUCGCUGUUUGCGAUAUACAGCAAGCGGCCAAGCGAAAGCGUUAAGUAUUCCACCUGGGGAGUACGCCGGCAACGGUGAAACUCAAAGGAAUUGACGGGGGCCCGCACAAGCGGAGGAACAUGUGGUUUAAUUCGAUGAUACGCGAGGAACCUUACCCGGGCUUAAAUUGCAGAUGAAUUACGGUGAAAGCCGUAAGCCGCAAGGCAUCUGUGAAGGUGCUGCAUGGUUGUCGUCAGCUCGUGCCGUGAGGUGUCGGCUUAAGUGCCAUAACGAGCGCAACCCUUGUUGUCAGUUACUAACAGGUUUCGCUGAGGACUCUGACAAGACUGCCAUCGUAAGAUGUGAGGAAGGUGAGGAUGACGUCAAAUCAGCACGGCCCUUACGUCCGGGGCUACACACGUGUUACAAUGGGGGGUACAGAGGGCCGCUACCACGCGAGUGGAUGCCAAUCCCAAAAACCUCUCUCAGUUCGGACUGGAGUCUGCAACCCGACUCCACGAAGCUGGAUUCGCUAGUAAUCGCGCAUCAGCCACGGCGCGGUGAAUACGUUCCCG
Molecule: ribosomal RNA, 1016 nt
Filed under: uncultured bacterium
Lineage: Bacteria
Description: bacterial SSU rRNA
Rfam family: Bacterial small subunit ribosomal RNA
Source: RNAcentral